Non-coding RNA from Salmo salar (Atlantic salmon), 2157 nucleotides. Lineage: Eukaryota; Metazoa; Chordata; Actinopteri; Salmoniformes; Salmonidae. The record is from RefSeq and is a predicted model, not a curated record.
AACAUUUGCAGAGAAGUGGAGAUUCACUCAUAUCACCUUCUCCCCUCACCAUCCACAAGCCAAUGGAAAGACAGAGCCAGCGGUCAAGAAAGUGAAAAGCCUAGAUGGUACGGACGUAUAGUCAGUUUUCUGCAGUGGCGCAACACACCCAUUGAGGGGAUGGACAGUAGCCCAGCACAGCGUCUCAUGUCACACAGACUGAAGUCAUCACUGCCGGAGGCACCCAGCCUGCUGCAGCCCUCUGUGGUUGUGUGUGUCACUGAGAAACUCAGACAGAAAAGGAGGAUUGCCAAAUCACACUAACGUGGCUGCCAGAGACCUCCCUGACUUGAACGUUGGAGAUCAGAAUGUGACCAUUACCAGGUGACCGCACAGGAUGGUGGCGGCUCGGUUCCUGUCCGAAGAGGGUCGCUCCUCAGUCAUUUCUUGUGGACGUUGAUGGCACACUCUACAGACGCAACAGAGUGGACCUUCGAGUGGCAGAACAGGCCACACAGAGGCACAGGGAUUCAACUAAUUUAACGCCACAGCAUGAGAAAUUUGAGUGUGGUCAGCCAGACCCAGACAGGGCAGUCGGAACUGGAAAGUCUGGAAAUGAGGCUGAGAAGCUGAAGGACUGUGAAGAAGGACAUAUGGGUGAACCACAUAACACACAGGCAUAUGUGCCAAGAGCAUAUUGCUCAUUUAGACCACAAAUAUACAAAAGGCAAUAGGGUUGCACUAAGGGAUGCACUGAAACAGACCAAGAAACGACGGCAAAAGAACCUCUGACCAUGGCCUCCUCAGAAACCCAAAAUGACACCAUGACACCUCAGGAAGAAGGUAGGCUUGCUCACAUCCUCAAAGUGAUCAAAGAAGGCAAUGACUCCCUCACAACACAAUUGAACUUGAAAACGGUUCAGCUGCUCCAUCUCAGCACAGAAGGCUGAAAUCAAAAACUCCAUCUCAGGUUUGACAACGACUAUCAACAUGCUAGGAUCACGAAUAGAAAAAGCUGAAGAGCGCAUCAACACUGCCAAGGACAAGAUAGAGGGAAUGGGGACGACUAUUUGGAAUGGGGACGACUACAUUAGAAUUAUCAGCCUCCGCAAGGGCUGUGAGGGGACUGACCCCAUUGAUUUCUCUGCUGCCAUUAUCCCCUCCUUACUGGGUAAAGAACAUUUUGCUGAACCUCUGGUUAUCGAACGGGCACACCGGUCACUCGCCCAUCCCCUGAUCAGAACCCACAACCCUUCGACGUUUGGUUCCUGAAGUACCAGGACAGAGAGAAAAUUAUGAUCCAACACAACGGGCAGGCAAUUCAAUUCUUUCCAGACAUCAGUCCCAAAAUGGUGAAACGCAGGAAGGAAUUCGACCAUUUGAAAAAAUAACUUGCCUCCAAGAACAUUCCCUUUGAGAUGCUUCAACCUGCAACGGUGAAAUUCAUCCAUGAGAGAAGAUUCUUCAAAAUCACAGAGAAGAUUCUUCAAAACGAAGUCGCAACUUUUCUCCGCAUACUGCAGGCAAUCGGCUCAGGACAUGGUUGAUUGGCUAGCGGACCGGGUUAAUUUCACUGCUAGCUGGGCUAUGUCCCACUAACCUGCCUUAUUACUUGCAUAACCGGUAGGACUGCUUUUCUGGAUUAUACAAUAGCUUACUGACAGAUCAAUGAGAAACUACGAAAGUUUUUCAGAAGCAGUCUUGGAGAUAUGACUUUACCAAAUCAACUACUCCAUGACUCAUACAGAUGUAUAUCCAGUGUUCUCCUUGCUAACGCAACAACGCCCAAAACCAGAUCUACAUAAGUCAAGAGAGCGAUGGGAAUCCGAUUUGAAUACUACAAUUGAUGAGGGGCUAUGGUCGGACCUAUGCCAAGAUAGUGUGUCAGCAACCAUCAACUCUAGAUACAGACUUCUACAUUCCUCCACCAACUCUAUCUGACACCUCAGAGGUUACAUAGAUAUAACCCUGAUAUAUCAGAAAUGUGUUUUAGAUAUGGAACAGAAGGCACUUUUUGUCAUUCUAAUUGUCAGUGUACUAAAUGACAAGCCUUCUUGCAUGAUGUUUGUGAUACCCUGGCCUUUAUUAUGGAGGUCCUUUUCCCACUCGACCCUGAAAUAUGCCUUCUGGGUAACUUCACAAAUGUGAAUUUGAGGAAUAACUUCAACAUAAAAUAUA